UAAAACGCUCGUAGUCGGAUUUCGGGGCGUGUGGGCCGGUCUGCCGAUGGGUAUGCACUGGUUGUACGCGUCCUUUCUUUCGGAGCUCUCUGCUGCUCUUAGCUGAGCGGUGGAGGGAUACGAAUCGUUUACUUUGAAAAAAUCAGAGUGUUUCAAGCAGGCAGCUCGCUCUUGCAUGGAUUAGCAUGGGAUAAUGAAAUAGGACUCUGGUGCUAUUUUGUUGGUUUCGAACACCGGAGUAAUGAUUAACAGGGACAGUCAGGGGCACUCGUAUUCCGCCGAGAGAGGUGAAAUUCUCAGACCAGCGGAAGACGAACCACUGCGAAAGCAUUUGCCAGGGAUGUUUUCACUGAUCAAGAACGAAAGUUAGGGGAUCGAAGACGAUCAGAUACCGUCGUAGUCUUAACCAUAAACCAUGCCGACUAGGGAUUUGGGGUUGUUCCUUUUGUGACUCCCUAAGCACCUUUCGGGAAACUAAAGUCUUUGGGUUCCGGGGGGAGUAUGGUCGCAAGGCUGAAACUUAAAGGAAUUGACGGAAGGGCACCACCAGGAGUGGAGCCUGCGGCUUAAUUUGACUCAACACGGGGAAACUUACCAGGUCCAGACAUUGUGAGGAUUGACAGAUUGAGAGCUCUUUCUCGAUUCGAUGGGUGGUGGUGCAUGGCCGUUCUUAGUUGGUGGAGUGAUUUGUCUGGUUAAUUCCGUUAACGAACGAGACCGCAGCCUGCUAAAUAGUACCGCGAACAAUUUGUUGGCGGGUCACUUCUUAGAGGGACAACUUGUCUUCAACAAGUGGAAGUUUGCGGCAAUAACAGGUCUGUGAU
Molecule: ribosomal RNA, 824 nt
Filed under: uncultured Calyptrosphaera
Lineage: Eukaryota; Haptophyta; Coccosphaerales; Calyptrosphaeraceae
Description: SSU rRNA
Rfam family: Eukaryotic small subunit ribosomal RNA
Source: RNAcentral